CGCCGCUCAUGAGAGAAGGGGAUUUUAUUCUUAUUUAAAACCCUAGUUGGCCCCUUCUCACAAUUUCAACGGCUGCUUCUGACGAUGCAAUGGACGCCCCCACCAAAUGGGAGUUCAGCUGGUCUCUUUCUCUCUCUAUAGUCUCUCUGUGUUUUUGUAUGUGUAUUUGUUAUUGUUUGUAUGUUGAGGGGUUUAUGGGAUUUUUAUGUAUUGAUAUAUAAUCAAGAUUAAAAGGAGAAAACAGAGCCUUCUUUCGCUGUUCUGAAAUUUUUUUUACUUCAGUUUUUCCUUGAUAAUUUACUUGAUUGGGCAUUUAUAUGUAUUUACUGACUUUAAUUCAUUGGAGUUUCGUUAAUUCGACCAUAAUGACUGUUAACAAGAACGUGUAAAUUAAUUUUUUUUUUCCGAAAUGGAAAUUGAGCUGCUCUUAUAUCUAAAGGUAAAAAGUUAUGAAAAAUAUUAGAUAUGGUGAUUGUGAUUGUUAGAAUCUCUAAUGAUGGCUUUGAUGAUUUUCACUUUGGCAGCCACAGCCCUAGAACAACAGAAAACGCUUAACAUUGUCCGCAUGUGGAAUGGUUUUACCUCGUGUUUAGAUCACUGGACUUGCGGUUUAGAAUUAUGUCAUUUGCCCCAACCUUAUACAUUCUAGAAUUAAGCUGCAAACUAACAAUUCAUUCAUGGUUGAAAUGGAUUCCUUUCGAUGCUAUUUCCUUUUCUUUCAGUCGGUGGUUUGGAUAAAAGAAUUGGAACAAUGGUGGUUUUGAAUGAGAGUUGGGACAAAAAAUUAAAUUAAAUUAUAAAAAUCAGCCUUUUAUCCACUUGCAUCUGUUCUAACUUUACCAUUGUAUUGUAUAUGCAUCUUCAAUGCAUCAAGUACCAUAUGUUCUUUUCACUAAAGUUAUCCAUGCUCCAUCAAUAACGACAGCCUAAGUCCAAGAAACGAAGUAUGAUGGUUGUUUUUAUUAAUCAAGAAAUAGGAUUGAUCAGUUAAUAAAUUAAUAGAAUAUAAGAUACUUUCUUGGAUGAUCUUUGGUGACUGGAUUAUAUUCUAGGUAGAAAUAUAUCUGGGUAUACAUUAUUAUUUUUAAGUAUGCAAGUGAAGACAUGAUGAAAUGAUUUGAAUGUCGUGAGGGACAUUAUUAAAUAAUAUUAAGGAAGAAUAUAAUUUAAGUUAAAAUCAUGUUUAUUAUGUUUUUUAGUACUUCACACCAAACCUGUACUUAUUGUAUUGCCUAAUAUGAUUGUCGUUAACUUAAAAAUCUGUCUGCAGCGACUUGGAAGUAGAUUACGAGUCCAAUGAAAAAGCUAGCAUGGUUUAUUCAGCAUUGGUUGUCGAUAAAGAGGUAACCAUCAUGUGCUAUUCUGAUUCAAAGCUUGUGUUCAGUUAAAUUCUGACUGAAAUAAUACUUGAAUUGUGCCAUGCACAACAGUUGCAGCCGGACAAGGUGAAAAGGGAGAUGUCAAUCUCCAAUGGGAAGCUUUCAGUGUCAGUAUACGAUUUACCUUGGAUUUAUUUACAAGUUCAAGUUAAAAUACGAGGCAAAUACAUUAAGAAAACCAAUUAUACUUAAAGACGGAAUACUCCAAUAUAGGCAGACCAAAUUAUUCGACCUUUCACCAUUCUUUAUACAUCUAGUGUUUUUGUAUUUUGGAAUUGUUUUCGCCCUUUUGACAAAUGUAUACUCGCAUGUACAGGCAUUUUGAGGCUGUCGAAGCAAGGUUUCUUCGUGCAUCAUAUAGUGCUUUUGUUGAUGUUCUUACACUUGCGACGAAGACAAUUGAAGAAUUUGGCCAAAGGGAUUGAAUUGUGACAUGAACUUGAUGUUAUCAAGAGUUGUAUCAUUGGUUGAAUUUAUGACUCAUACGUUUUUUCUUAAAUUUUGAUAUGAACUUGAUGUUGUUAUAAAGAGUUGCAUCAUUGGUGAAAUAAAUGAUUCAUAUUUUAUACCUUUGUCUUGUGACUUAGGUCCCAUUAUUGUCAAUUUAACUUUUUAUUUCAUGCAAUGCUUGUAUAGAGAACCCUACGACCCCUACAGUGAACUGUAUAAUUAAGUUUCGCAGUCCAAUCGAGAAAAUACAACUUAUUCCAAUGUGUUCUUUUUUCUCACAUCGAUUAUCACAGUUGACGGUACUGCUUAAACUUUUCAUUGUAACUAAAGAUGAACAG
RNAcentral lists this long non-coding RNA (2167 nucleotides) under Olea europaea subsp. europaea. Lineage: Eukaryota; Viridiplantae; Streptophyta; Magnoliopsida; Lamiales; Oleaceae. The record is from RNAcentral.